CGGCGCUAGGCUGACCCUGCUGCUGGUGACGGAAGUACCGCCUCCUCCCGUCUGACGCCCCUCAGGGGACCCUGCGCCGCUCCAGCCGCCGCGGCCAUGUCUGGGCCAAGCAACAAACGCGCCGCCGGCGACGGGGCUCAGGGCCCCCGGAGAAGAAGCUAAGUCGUGAGGAGAAGACCACCACGACUCUUAUCGAGCCCAUUCGUCUUGGAGGCAGCUCUUCCACGGAGGAGAUGGACCUGAAGGUACUACAGUUCAAGAACAAGAAACUGGCAGAGCGGCUGGAACAACGGCAGGCUUGUGAAGAUGAACUCCGAGAACGAAUUGAGAAGUUGGAGAAGCGGCAGGCCACAGAUGAUGCCACACUCCUCAUCGUCAAUCGCUACUGGGCCCAGCUGGAUGAAACUGUGGAAGCCCUUCUCCGAUGCCAUGAGAGCCAGGGGGAGCUGUCUUCAGCGCCUGAGGCACCUGGGACCCAGGAGGGGCCAACAUGUGAUGGGACUCCUCUCCCAGAGCCGGGGACAUCAGAGCUGAGGGACCCCUUGCCGAUGCAGCUGCGGCCCCCUCUCAGUGAGCCGGCCUUGGCUUUUGUGGUGGCACUGGGUGCCAGCAGCAGUGAGGAGGUGGAGCUGGAGCUGCAAGGCCGAAUGGAGUUCUCCAAGGCAGCUGUGUCUCGUGUGGUAGAGGCCUCAGACCGCCUACAGCGCCGGGUGGAGGAACUCUGUCAGCGAGUGUACAGCCGAGGGGACAGUGAGCCCCUCAGUGAGGCGGCUCGGGCACGCACCCGAGAGCUGGGCCGUGAGAACCGGCGACUGCAGGACUUGGCCACUCAGCUGCAGGAAAAACACCACCGCAUCUCGUUGGAGUACUCCGAGCUCCAAGAUAAAGUGACAUCGGCAGAGACCAAGGUGCUGGAGAUGGAGACAACAGUGGAGGACUUGCAGUGGGACAUCGAGAAGCUGCGGAAGCGAGAGCAAAAGCUCAAUAAGCACCUGGCAGAGGCCUUAGAGCAGCUUAACUCUGGCUACUAUGUAUCUGGGAGCUCCUCAGGCUUCCAGGGGGGCCAGAUCACACUCAGCAUGCAGAAGUUUGAGAUGCUGAAUGCAGAGUUAGAGGAAAACCAGGAAUUGGCCAACAGCCGCAUGGCAGAGCUGGAGAAACUGCAGGCCGAACUUCAGGGGGCUGUGCGGACAAAUGAGCGCCUCAAGGUGGCCCUGCGGAGCCUUCCUGAGGAGGUAGUGCGGGAGACGGGAGAGUACCGCAUGCUGCAGGCCCAAUUCUCACUGCUCUACAACGAGUCUCUGCAAGUGAAGACCCAGCUAGACGAGGCUCGGGGCCUGCUGCUGGCCACCAAGAACUCCCAUCUGCGACACAUCGAGCACAUGGAGAGCGACGAGCUGGGGCUGCAGAAGAAGCUGCGCACAGAGGUCAUUCAGCUGGAGGACACACUGGCCCAGGUACGCAAGGAGUAUGAGAUGCUGCGCAUCGAGUUUGAGCAGAAUCUGGCGGCCAACGAGCAGGCGGGGCCCAUCAACCGUGAGAUGCGCCACCUGAUUAGUAGUCUUCAAAACCACAACCACCAGCUAAAAGGGGACGCCCAGCGAUACAAGCGGAAGCUUCGAGAAGUACAAGCUGAGAUUGGCAAGCUCCGGGCCCAGGCCAGUGGCUCUACCCACUCCACCCCCAACCUGGGCCACCCAGAGGAUUCUGGCCUCAGUGCCCCAGCCCCAGGGAAAGAGGAGGGUGGGCCAGGCCCUGUCAGUACCCCCGACAGCAGAAAGGAGAUGGCUCCAGUGCCUGGCACCACCACUACUACCACUUCAGUGAAGAAGGAGGAGCUGGUCCCCUCUGAAGAGGAUGUCCAGGGCUUAACCCCUGGGGCCCAGGGCCCUUCCUCCCGGGGCCGAGAACCUGAGGCCAGGCCCAAGCGGGAGCUUCGGGAACGAGAAGGUCCCAGCCUCGGACCUCCACCUGUAGCCUCCGCUCUCUCAAGGGCUGAUCGGGAGAAGGCCAAGGUGGAAGAAGCCAAGCGGAAGGAAUCAGAACUCCUCAAGGGUCUCCGAGCAGAGCUCAAGAAGGCCCAGGAGAGCCAGAAGGAGAUGAAACUGCUGCUGGAUAUGUACAAGUCAGCGCCCAAGGAGCAGCGGGAUAAGGUGCAGCUCAUGGCAGCGGAACGCAAGGCCAAGGCCGAGGUUGAUGAGCUGCGGAGCCGUAUCCGGGAAUUGGAGGAGAGGGAUCGAAGGGAGAGCAAGAAGAUCGCGGAUGAGGAUGCCCUGCGGCGCAUUCGGCAGGCAGAGGAGCAGAUAGAACACCUGCAGCGCAAGCUGGGUGCUACCAAGCAGGAGGAGGAGGCUCUGCUCUCAGAGAUGGAUGUGACAGGUCAGGCUUUUGAGGACAUGCAGGAACAGAACGGGCGCCUGCUACAGCAGUUGCGGGAAAAGGAUGACGCCAACUUUAAGCUAAUGUCAGAGCGGAUCAAGGCCAACCAGAUUCACAAGCUGCUGCGGGAGGAGAAGGAUGAGUUGGGCGAGCAGGUCCUUGGCCUCAAGUCCCAGGUAUGGCCUCCCCCAGCUUGCAGGGUGGAGCUGGAGAGGGGGGGGUCAUGGCCCUGAGUCCUCCUCUGGUCCUUAGGUGGAUGCCCAGCUGCUGACUGUGCAGAAGCUGGAGGAGAAGGAACGGGCCUUGCAGGGCAGCCUCGGGGGUGUGGAGAAGGAGCUGACGCUGCGCAGCCAAGCCCUGGAGCUCAACAAGCGGAAGGCUGUAGAAGCCGCCCAGCUGGCCGAGGACUUGAAAGUGCAGCUGGAGCAUGUGCAGACUCGGCUGCGGGAGAUCCAGCCCUGCCUGGCAGAGAGCCGGGCUGCUCGUGAGAAAGAGAGCUUCAACCUCAAGAGGGCUCAGGAGGACAUCUCACGGCUGCGGCGCAAGCUGGAAAAGCAGAGGAAGGUGGAGGUCUACGCGGAUGCCGACGAAAUCCUCCAGGAGGAGAUCAAGGAGUACAAGGCGCGGUUGACCUGCCCCUGCUGUAACACCCGCAAGAAGGAUGCAGUCCUUACCAAGUGCUUCCACGUUUUCUGCUUCGAGUGCGUGCGGGGCCGCUAUGAGGCCCGCCAGAGGAAGUGCCCCAAGUGCAACGCGGCCUUUGGUGCCCACGACUUCCAUCGUAUCUACAUCAGCUGAACCUGAAACUCAGGGGACUCUGGAACACCAUGGACCCUGGGGGCUGUGCCCCCAGCCCCUCCCCACCCCAGGUCUAGUGGCCCCACCCUCCAUUCCGGACCCCAUGGGCCCAGCCCCUGCCCAUCUAGUUGGUUUGGGGACCCUGGUGCAUGCUAGUGGGCGUGGGAUCAGCCAAGCUUCGUUCCAUCUUUUCCUAAAGGUCAGAGCUGCAGCCUAGGGGGCACUGCCCUACAGAAAAGUUCUGCCUGAGAGGCCUGAGGAGCCCAGAGCACUCGACUGAGCUUCCCGGAAACUGGCCCUAACCUGUCUGUCUCCAUGGAUGCAUCUUAACCCUAAGGAAAAUUCCCCAGGCUGUGAUCUCCUACCCUAGGAAAGGCUCGCUCCCUGCCUACUGGCUCACAAAUGAGGACCAGUCCUUGUUCCUUGUUUGAGACUGGGCUGCAGGCCCCAGGAAGACUUUCCUUCACCCACCAUCCCCCUAACCUUGGCAGGGCUUCUGUCCUGUGGAGUUCCUUGGACACCUUGGUCUGGCUUUUGUGCCAAGGGCUGAAGGAGGUACCCUCUUGGCAGAUGGGGGCAUCACUCGCUUCCUUUGGGAAGCUCUAAGGUUGCUGCAGUCACCUUCCUCAUCUUGCAGGUGCUGAACCAACAUCAUCAGUUUCUAUUCUAAUCAGGCCCCUUCCCAAUCUCCACUUCUCUCCCAAGCCCAUUUACCCCCACCUCAUGCAUCCCAAGGCUCUACUGGGUCCCUGGACCUAACCCUGCUUUCAUCCUGGUGGCCUUAACUACAGUGGAGGUGGAACUUCCCAGGAGGGGAAGGGACAGACCAGCCCCAGCCGCUGGGCCAACUUCCAAUCAUUCCAGCUAGAAGAGCUUCCCCCUGACACCCUGUGACUGAGCCUGUGUCCUGUCUGCCUGCCCAGCCAUGCUCCAUCGGCUGUGAGGGCAGCGCCUGGAGAGGCCAGAGGGUUGGAACUGCAGGGGCCCGUUUGGACCCACAGCCUCUGCUCUAGAGAUGCUUGUAUAGGCUGUUAAUUGUGAUGAAUAAACGUUCAACCCUCGGCCUGUAGCCAGAGUAGACAGGCCUCGCACCCCAAAUGUAGUCCCCCGAUUUUAGCUGCAGCAGCUGAGCAGCACUUUGCUGGCUUGGUGUGAGCCUGGGAGGGCUCAGACUUAACGGUCGGCAGGGAUCCCGGACUGGGCCUGAAGGGAAGAGCGUGGUGGUCGCCGGGGAGCCGCCUGUCCUGCUCUCACGGACCCCGGUCUGACCACGCCCUUGGCUGUCAUGGCCUGGGGAUGCCGGGACUCCUCGGGCUGCAUCCUGGGAAGUGUAGUUCCUGGUCCGCACAUGGUUAGGAGGUUCUCGGAGGGAGAGCUGGUUUCCCGGUUGCGCUGGCCAAAGGCCAGCCUGAACUGGAUCCUGCGGGCCGCUUCUCAGCGGCUUCACCCCCACACCACUGGAACGCACAGAUCGUGACACCUCAGCUGGGUGACUUCCUUCAUUGCAAUCGGCUUCGGGAGCAGUGCGGCGUGUACCGAGCGGCGCCCUUGGGCUCAGCGCGCUGCAGGCGCCCCGGGCAGAUCCUUCACCGAGGCGGAACUGGGGCUGGCGCCAGAGCCGGUGCGGAGCGGUGUUGGUUCAGGCGCCGGCGACAGGGCUAUGGCCACGGUAGGGGCCGCGUGCCUCUCAGUGGUGGCGCCUUCGGGCCCCAUUGGCGCCCGGGGCUUAGGCGGGGCCACCGCUGCUGGACCAGGACGGACUGGAGACGGAGACGCGGGCCGCAACGGUGACCUCGGGCGCAGGGCUGGCGGCAGCGGGCACGCUGGUGGAAGCGCGGGCUGCGGCGGGGAAGGACAUGGGGCCGCAGAGGAAGUGCCGAUGGCCCAGGGCAGCGGUGCGAGGGUGGGAAAAACGCAGGAUAUUGCAUCAUAGAGACGCGGCCACCUGCGACCCUGGAGAGCUCCAGUCUCAGGAGCGCCGCACCGGUCACGGGUGGAGGUCAGCCAGGCCUCCGUAAGCGCGGUCCCCUUCCAGGAGUGGCCUUCGCCUGGGCUCUUGAGUAAAUGCCAAGUCAUUCCGCAUCGUCUCCCUAGGUAUCUGUGCUAAAGGCCACCCGAUCUCCUUAUCAGAGGGGCAAAACUCUCCUCGUGGGUCUUCAUACCUAAUAAAAGUCGGCAUCAAACCAC
This 5364-nucleotide small RNA is filed under the name Pongo abelii (Sumatran orangutan). RNAcentral's name for it is "retained intron". Lineage: Eukaryota; Metazoa; Chordata; Mammalia; Primates; Hominidae. The record is from RNAcentral.